RNAcentral lists this ribosomal RNA (398 nucleotides) under uncultured bacterium. RNAcentral describes it as "bacterial SSU rRNA". It matches the Rfam family "Bacterial small subunit ribosomal RNA", at positions 976 to 1380 of the family's 1533-position model. The record is from RNAcentral.
AGGUCUUGACAUCGAGUGACCGGCGUAGAGAUACGCCCUUCCCUUCGGGGACACAAAGACAGGUGGUGCAUGGUUGUCGUCAGCUCGUGUCGUGAGAUGUUGGGUUAAGUCCCGCAACGAGCGCAACCCUUAUGAUUAGUUGCUACGCAAGAGCACUCUAAUCAGACUGCCGUUGACAAAACGGAGGAAGGUGGGGAUGACGUCAAAUCAUCAUGCCCUUUAUGACCUGGGCCUCACACGUACUACAAUGGCGUUUAACAAAGAGAAGCAAUACUGCGAAGUGGAGCAAAUCUCCAAAAAACGUCUCAGUUCAGAUUGCAGGCAGCAACUCGCCUGCAUGAAGUCGGAAUUGCUAGUAAUCGCAGAUCAGCAUGCUGCGGUGAAUACGUUCCCGGGCC